UCGUAUGUCUCAUAGAAUGUAAUCGAUAUCCUCGCCCUGAAAAAGCGUUGAUAAACUUAUACAACUUUCAACAACGGAUCUCUUGGCUCUCGCAUCGAUGAAGAACGCAGCGAAAUGCGAUAAGUAAUGUGAAUUGCAGAUUUUCAGUGAAUCAUCGAAUCUUUGAACGCACCUUGCGCUCCUUGGUAUUCCGAGGAGCAUGCCUGUUUGAGUGUCAUUAAAUUCUCAACUCCAAGGGUUUCACGACCUUUCGGAGAUUGGACUUGGAGGUGCUGGCCGCAUAUUGGUCUUUUUCUCUCAAAUGCAUCAGCGGAAUUCAACCUUUGGCUUCCGGAUGUCAGUGUGAUAAUCAUGUUGCGCUGUCGUUUGAUCCCUCAGAGUCCGCUUAUAAUGGUCUUCGGACAAAAUCAUCAUCAAAUUUGACCUCAAAUCAGGUAGGACUACCCGCUGAACUUAAGCAUAUCAA
Molecule: unclassified non-coding RNA, 466 nt
Filed under: uncultured Piloderma
Lineage: Eukaryota; Fungi; Basidiomycota; Agaricomycetes; Atheliales; Atheliaceae
Description: sequence contains ITS1, 5.8S rRNA gene and ITS2
Rfam family: 5.8S ribosomal RNA (bases 63-217)
Source: RNAcentral